CAGUAGCCACGGUAAUACGUAGGGUGCAAGCGUUAAUCGGAAUUACUGGGCGUAAAGCGUGCGCAGGCGGUUCGUUAAGACAGAUGUGAAAUCCCCGGGCUUAACCUGGGAACUGCAUUUGUGACUGGCGGGCUAGAGUAUGGCAGAGGGGGGUAGAAUUCCACGUGUAGCAGUGAAAUGCGUAGAGAUGUGGAGGAAUACCGAUGGCGAAGGCAGCCCCCUGGGCCAAUACUGACGCCCAUGCACGAAAGCGUGGGGAGCAAACAGGAUUAGAUACCCGAGUAGUCCCUGUCUCUUAUAC
This 301-nucleotide ribosomal RNA is filed under the name uncultured bacterium. RNAcentral's name for it is "partial 16S ribosomal RNA". It matches the Rfam family "Bacterial small subunit ribosomal RNA", at positions 509 to 807 of the family's 1533-position model. The record is from RNAcentral.